Molecule: ribosomal RNA, 292 nt
Filed under: Enterocytozoon bieneusi H348
Lineage: Eukaryota; Fungi; Microsporidia; Enterocytozoonidae
Description: 28S ribosomal RNA
Rfam family: Eukaryotic large subunit ribosomal RNA
Source: RNAcentral
AAGGGGAAUCUGACUGUUUAAUAAAAACAUAGCUUUGUGUGUACGCAAAGUGAAUUCUGCCCAGUGCUUGGGACGUUAAGGAAGUAAUUUUAAGUACGCACCUGUAAACGGCGGGAGUAACUAUGACUCUCUUAAGGUAGCCAAAUGCCUCGUCGCCUAAUUAGCGACGCGCAUGAAUGGAGCAACGAGAUUCCCACUGUCCCUGCUCACAGAUUUGCGAACCUACAGCCAAUGGAACGGCCUUGGGACAUGCCAGCGGGGAAAAAAGACCCUGGUUGAGCUUGACUCUAGC